Molecule: long non-coding RNA, 266 nt
Organism: Carya illinoinensis
Lineage: Eukaryota; Viridiplantae; Streptophyta; Magnoliopsida; Fagales; Juglandaceae
Exons: 2
Source: RefSeq, a predicted model, not a curated record
UUCCAUCAAAAGCACUGCAGUUGUUUCUGCUUCAGGGUCAUCUGAAAGGCCUUGCUGUCAGUAGCAAGCAUACUUACAUGUUUUCUGCUGGUGAUGACAAACUAGUUAAAUGUGAGGACCUUGAGCAGAACAAGUUUAGAACCUCCAUGAAAUAAAAAACUUCAAAAACUCCAGUGACACGAUUUUCUACUGUAAUGGGAUCCUUAUGGCUACUCAGUCUUAUAUACCUAUCUAAUCCAAACAAUAUUUCCAUGAUUUUCUUUAUU